UACGUAGGAUCCAAGCGUUAUCCGGAUUUACUGGGCGUAAAGCGUGUGUAGGCGGUGCGUUAAGUGGGAUGCGAAAUCGGGUGGCUCAACCAUGUCGACUGUAUCCUAUACUGGCGUGCUAGAGGACGGCAGAGGCUAGUGGAAUUUGCGGUGUAGCAGUGAAAUGCGUAGAUAUCGCAAGGAACACCAAUGGCGAAGGCAGCUAGCUGGGCCGUCCCUGACGCUGAGACACGAAAGCGUGGGGA
This 245-nucleotide ribosomal RNA is filed under the name uncultured bacterium. Its description in RNAcentral is "partial 16S ribosomal RNA". It matches the Rfam family "Bacterial small subunit ribosomal RNA", at positions 524 to 767 of the family's 1533-position model. The record is from RNAcentral.